This 639-nucleotide ribosomal RNA is filed under the name uncultured Gammaproteobacteria bacterium. RNAcentral's name for it is "bacterial SSU rRNA". It matches the Rfam family "Bacterial small subunit ribosomal RNA", at positions 114 to 749 of the family's 1533-position model. The record is from RNAcentral. Lineage: Bacteria; Pseudomonadati; Pseudomonadota; Gammaproteobacteria.
UGCUUGGGAAUCAGCCCAUUAGUGGGGGACAACAUUCGGAAACGGAUGCUAAUACCGCAUACGCCCUACGGGGGAAAGCGGGGGAUCUUCGGACCUCGCGCUAAUGGAUGAGCCUAAGUCGGAUUAGCUUGUUGGUAGGGUAAUGGCCUACCAAGGCGACGAUCCGUAGCUGGUCUGAGAGGACGAUCAGCCACACUGGGACUGAGACACGGCCCAGACUCCUACGGGAGGCAGCAGUGGGGAAUAUUGGACAAUGGGCGCAAGCCUGAUCCAGCAAUGCCGCGUGUGUGAAGAAGGCCUGCGGGUUGUAAAGCACUUUCAGUAGAGAAGAAAAGCCUGAGGUUAAUACCCUCGAGUCUUGACGUAACCUACAGAAGAAGCACCGGCUAACUCCGUGCCAGCAGCCGCGGUAAUACGGAGGGUGCGAGCGUUAAUCGGAAUUACUGGGCGUAAAGCGCGCGUAGGCUGUUGAGUGAGUCAAAUGUGAAAUCCCCGGGCUUAACCUGGGAACUGCAUUCGAUACUGCUUAACUAGAGUAUGGUAGAGGGAAGUGGAAUUUCCGGUGUAGCGGUGAAAUGCGUAGAUAUCGGAAGGAACACCAGUGGCGAAGGCGACUUCCUGGGCCAAUACUGACGCUGA